This 648-nucleotide ribosomal RNA is filed under the name uncultured bacterium. RNAcentral's name for it is "bacterial SSU rRNA". It matches the Rfam family "Bacterial small subunit ribosomal RNA", at positions 110 to 753 of the family's 1533-position model. The record is from RNAcentral.
GUAAUGCUUAGGAAUCUGCCUAUUAGUGGGGGACAACGUUCCGAAAGGAGCGCUAAUACCGCAUACGUCCUACGGGAGAAAGCAGGGGACCUUUGGGCCUUGCGCUAAUAGAUGAGCCUAAGUCGGAUUAGCUAGUUGGUAGGGUAAAGGCCUACCAAGGCGACGAUCUGUAGCGGGUCUGAGAGGAUGAUCCGCCACACUGGGACUGAGACACGGCCCAGACUCCUACGGGAGGCAGCAGUGGGGAAUAUUGGACAAUGGGGGGAACCCUGAUCCAGCCAUGCCGCGUGUGUGAAGAAGGCCUUUUGGUUGUAAAGCACUUUAAGCGAGGAGGAGGCUACCUAGAUUAAUACUUUAGGAUAGUGGACGUUACUCGCAGAAUAAGCACCGGCUAACUCUGUGCCAGCAGCCGCGGUAAUACAGAGGGUGCGAGCGUUAAUCGGAUUUACUGGGCGUAAAGCGUGCGUAGGCGGCCAAUUAAGUCAAAUGUGAAAUCCCCGAGCUUAACUUGGGAAUUGCAUUCGAUACUGGUUGGCUAGAGUAUGGGAGAGGAUGGUAGAAUUCCAGGUGUAGCGGUGAAAUGCGUAGAGAUCUGGAGGAAUACCGAUGGCGAAGGCAGCCAUCUGGCCUAAUACUGACGCUGAGGUA